This 305-nucleotide ribosomal RNA is filed under the name uncultured bacterium. RNAcentral describes it as "bacterial SSU rRNA". It matches the Rfam family "Bacterial small subunit ribosomal RNA", at positions 335 to 656 of the family's 1533-position model. The record is from RNAcentral.
UACCCUACGGGGGGCAGCAGUGGGGGAUAUUGCACAAUGGGGGAAACCCUGAUGCAGCGACGCCGCGUGUGGGAAGACGGUCCUCUGGAUUGUAAACCACUGUCCCCAGGGACGAAGAUGACGGUACCUGGGGAGGAAGCUCCGGCUAACUACGUGCCAGCAGCCGCGGUAAUACGUAGGGAGCAAGCGUUAUCCGGAUUUACUGGGUGUAAAGGGCGUGUAGGCGGGCAUGCAAGCCAGAAGUGAAAUCUGGGGGCUUAACCCCCAAACUGCUUUUGGAACUGCGUGUCUUGAGUGAUGGAGAG